UACGGAGGGUGCAAGCGUUAUCCGGAUUCACUGGGUUUAAAGGGUGCGUAGGUGGGUUGGUAAGUCAGUGGUGAAAUCUCCAGGCUUAACUUGGAAACUGCCAUUGAUACUAUCAAUCUUGAAUAUCGUGGAGGUGAGCGGAAUAUGUCAUGUAGCGGUGAAAUGCUUAGAUAUGACAUAGAACACCAAUUGCGAAGGCAGCUCACUACCCGAAUAUUGACUCUGAGGCACGAAAGCGUGGGGAUCAAACAGG
This 253-nucleotide ribosomal RNA is filed under the name uncultured bacterium. RNAcentral describes it as "partial 16S ribosomal RNA". It matches the Rfam family "Bacterial small subunit ribosomal RNA", at positions 524 to 776 of the family's 1533-position model. The record is from RNAcentral.